RNAcentral lists this small nucleolar RNA (100 nucleotides) under Pyrenochaeta sp. DS3sAY3a. RNAcentral describes it as "Small nucleolar RNA Z13/snr52". It matches the Rfam family "Small nucleolar RNA Z13/snr52". Rfam says of the family: Z13 or snr52 is a member of the C/D class of snoRNA which contain the C (UGAUGA) and D (CUGA) box motifs. Lineage: Eukaryota; Fungi; Ascomycota; Dothideomycetes; Pleosporales; Cucurbitariaceae. The record is from Rfam by way of RNAcentral.
ACUGGUCCGGUGAUGUAACACUUUCGGAUGUAAACCUUUUAACCACCGAGAGCGCAAAACCGUGUGGAUAUCUUCCGUUGCCUUCCUUCUGAGACUCGAC